RNAcentral lists this ribosomal RNA (246 nucleotides) under uncultured Vibrio sp. RNAcentral's name for it is "partial 16S ribosomal RNA". It matches the Rfam family "Bacterial small subunit ribosomal RNA", at positions 796 to 1041 of the family's 1533-position model. The record is from RNAcentral. Lineage: Bacteria; Pseudomonadati; Pseudomonadota; Gammaproteobacteria; Vibrionales; Vibrionaceae.
CACGCCGUAAACGAUGUCUACUUGGAGGUUGUGGCCUUGAGCCGUGGCUUUCGGAGCUAACGCGUUAAGUAGACCGCCUGGGGAGUACGGUCGCAAGAUUAAAACUCAAAUGAAUUGACGGGGGCCCGCACAAGCGGUGGAGCAUGUGGUUUAAUUCGAUGCAACGCGAAGAACCUUACCUACUCUUGACAUCCAGAGAACUUUCCAGAGAUGGAUUGGUGCCUUCGGGAACUCUGAGACAGGUGC